UACGUAGGGUGCAAGCGUUAAUCGGAAUUACUGGGCGUAAAGCGUGCGCAGGCGGCUAUGCAAGACAGAUGUGAAAUCCCCGGGCUCAACCUGGGAACUGCAUUUGUGACUGCAUGGCUAGAGUACGGUAGAGGGGAUGGAAUUCCGCGUGUAGCAGUGAAAUGCGUAGAUAUGCGGAGGAACACCGAUGGCGAAGGCAAUCCCCUGGACCUGUACUGACGCUCAUGCACGAAGCGUGGGGAGCAAACAGG
RNAcentral lists this ribosomal RNA (251 nucleotides) under uncultured bacterium. RNAcentral describes it as "partial 16S ribosomal RNA". It matches the Rfam family "Bacterial small subunit ribosomal RNA", at positions 524 to 776 of the family's 1533-position model. The record is from RNAcentral.